Long non-coding RNA from Equus caballus (horse), 3351 nucleotides. NCBI's taxonomy places the organism in Eukaryota, Metazoa, Chordata, Mammalia, Perissodactyla, Equidae. The record is from Ensembl.
UUUUUUUUACUUUUUCUCCCCAAAGCCCCCCAGUACAUAGUUGUAUAUUCUUCGUUGUGGGUCCUUCUAGUUGUGGCAUGUGGGACGCUGCCUCAGCGUGGUUUGAUGAGCAGUGUCAUGUCCGCGCCCAGGAUUCGAACCAACGAAACGCUGGGCGGCCUGCAGCGGAGCGCGCGAACUUAACCACUCGGCCAGGGGGCCAGCCCCAUGUUUUGCUCUUUUUUUUAAAUAGAAAUAAAUAAAAAUCACUGUAGCAGAACAGCCAAACUGCUUUGCCCCUACAGAUGAUCUAUGGCAUAUAUAUGUGUGUAUAUACUGCGAGAGAGAGCGUCUACACAUUUUCUUAAAGGAGAGUGGGAGAAAAUUAUAAGCAAAUUAAGAGUUUGACUUCCACCUAUUAUUCAGUUGUAUCUCACGCUAGAAAAUGAAACUAACCAAUGUAAAAUAAGCAUGAACACCUUCUUGGUUAGCACGUUGGUAAUAUUUAAACAACAAGGAGCAUAACAUAAUCUCCAAAGUAUUGCUUUGCCCCAUACCCUUCCUCCUCUCCCCGAAAAGAGCAGGAAUUUGUGGAACAGGAUUAGAAAGACCAGGAAACUGACACUCAGCGGUGUGUACUCUUACGACAGCACCUAACCCAUGGAGAAGAAGAGUCAUCAAUUUUGACCUUCAUGUGACCUUCUGUACCUUUCCAAUGGAUGAGGGUUUGGAGACUUAAGCGGAAUUCAUCGUCAACAGCCUUAACCAUAAAAUUCACCAAACAGGUUAGCAUAAACGGUCUUACAAUUUAGUAGAAAGUUUGACGGCCAUUUAUUUAGUACAAAUAAUCAAAUGUUUUCCAAACUUUAGAAUCAUUCUAAGUUUCACCAUACAAUUUUUUUCCUUUACGUUGACUCAUGUAUAAAGUGUUUGAUUCCUUAAAUAAAAGUAUUUCAAAAAGCAACCAUCGCUAUUGUAAAAAGAAAAGUCAGUAUGACUUGGCGUAAAUAGAAGUUAUCCACUGAAACAUCUUCGUUAACACAAAUGGUAACAAACCCUACCUGGGUGCACUGUUGCCCACCAAAGCGUUAGAGAGGUGUCAGAGGUCACCAACCCCAAGCAAGGGCAUUCUCCUUGACGUAAUCAAAAAGACUGAAUAAGAAUUGAAAGGGGAGUAACUUUCCCACUAGAGGGCUCAUUGCUGUUUCAUGCUGUGUCCCCGUGUACCUAAAAUCAUCCCGUUUCAGAAACAAUGCAGAGGGGCCGGCCCACUGGCAUAGUGGUUAAGCUUGCAUGUUUCACUUCUGCGGCCUGGGCUUUGCCGGUUCGGAUCCCGGGGGUGGACCUAGCACUGCUUCUCAAGCCAUGCUGAGGCAGGCAUCCCACAUAUAAAGUCGAGGAAGAUGGGCACAGAUGUUAGCUGAGGGCCAGUCUUCCUCAGCAAAAAGAGGAGGAUUGGCAGUGGAUGUUAGCUCAGGGCCAAUCUUCCUCAAAAAAAAAAGAAAGAAAGAAAGAAAGAAACACUGCAGAGUCCCCCUGCCUCUCCCUCUUAGAGCUCCUGAAGGAAGGUAAUUACCACUUCUCCCUAAACCUAAAGAAACCCAUUUUACUGUCUGGUGGAGGAGGUCAAACCUUAACAGCACUCAUGCACUCAGCGCACUACCUUUCAAAACCUACCGAAGUUCAACAGAUCUAAUCCCUGAAGGAAAAGGCCACUUCACCUCCACUAAAUGUUUUCCAACAGAAGAGCUGGAGGAAGCCACGGAUCGGGAGGAGAACACAGAAUGGGAAACAAUUAAGGAAUACUGUAGGUGAAGCUUCCUCCAAAGGCACUUACUUGGCAGAGGCCUGAGCAGCCACUCGGAUGGCUGGGGUCUGGUUCUGUGCUAGAGGGGGUGACUUUUCUUCUCCGAGGCUGGGGUGGGCGCACUCUCGGGGGGCACUGACUGCUGGGCCUGAGUGGCUGGAACUGGGGCCUCCGGGAGUGGGGAUGUGGGGUCAGGGUGAUCUUGACUUAGCUUCUGGCUGGCUGGUGGCAGACUCUCAAAAGCCUGAGCCCCGGGCUGCUUAUGAAACUCCUGGGCAGAUGAAGCCUGGCCUGGAGCAAUCUCUUGAACCCAAGAGCCGCUCUGGGGGGCCUGCUGGGUGUGAUCCAGGGCCUGCAAGUCAUGAACAGCUGGGCCGACCUGCAAGUCCAUAGGCUGGGUCUGAAAAGGCUGGGUGGGCAGAAGCUGAAUCAAAGAGAGCAGGGUGGCCCCAGCGUGGGCUUGGGAAACCUGCACAGGUGGAGGCUGAGUUUGAGAGGCCUGAGAAAGAUUCUGGAGCUGGCUCUGGGAAGCUAGAGGGACUGGGAGGUGGCUCUGUACAGCCACAGGCACUGGGGGGUCGCUCUGAGAGUCCACAGGCAGCGCGAGGUGGGUCUGUGCAGCCACAGGCAGCAGGAAGUGGCUCCGAGAGGCCACAGGCACCAUGGGCUGGCUCGUAGAGGCCCCAGAAAUGACAAGCUGGCUCUCGGAAGUAAGAACAGGCAGAGGCUGGCAAGUGGAGGCCAAGGAGACUACAGGCAGGCUCUUGGAGGGGAGGAUGGCUGGAGGCACGGGCUGGUCCGGAGGAGACAGAGUGGACUCGGACUGCACCAGAUGAGCCGAUGGUCGUUUAAUAAGCCGUGGCAGCCCAGCCUCGGGGCCCGGAGGACUAGCGUCAGGGCCUGCAGGGCGAGGUGCCUCGGAACUUUCGACGGUUUCAGGUUGGGGGCCCAGAGCCUCUCUGCAAACGUCUUGGGCGUCGCCGCUCUCUCGGACACCUUGCAUCCCGUCUUUGUCCUGGGCCUCCUCCUCUAGCUGUUUCUCCACCUCGCCAGUGACGGUCAUAUCCAGAGAAGCCCUCCUCUGAAGGAUCCUCCUGGUGCGCCGCCGCCGCAUGCGCAGGAAGGUGGUGGAGACGCCGCAGACCGCCAAAGAGAGGCGGUGGCCGACGCCCUGUCUGAGGGCUUCCACCGUGGUGGCGGAGGGCACGGGGAAGGGGCUCUUCAGGGCCUCCUCGGGAGUCAGUUCGAUGUUGCCCGUGUACCAGGAGACCCACCAGAGGAGGCUGAAGACGAUGAUGAUGGCACCCAGGUAGAGCAGCAGGUCGUAGAAGAACAGGUCGGCGAAGAUGCCGGUGAACAGCACCGUCAGGCCCACCGUGUCGAAGACGACGCCCAGCCAGAAGAAAUGCCGGCAGCGGCCCAGGCCCGUCCGCUUCCUGGUCCCACCGACGGUGUUUCCUGAACUCUCCAUGAGCCCCCACGAUCGCCGCCUCCAGAUCCGCAGAGGCGACCUGGCCGGCGGCGCCGCCGCAGGCCGGCUGUGGCCGCUGGGUCGCCAUGGCAAC